Molecule: ribosomal RNA, 791 nt
Filed under: uncultured bacterium
Lineage: Bacteria
Description: bacterial SSU rRNA
Rfam family: Bacterial small subunit ribosomal RNA
Source: RNAcentral
AGAGUUUGAUCAUGGCUCAGAUUGAACGCUGGCGGCAUGCUUUACACAUGCAAGUCGAACGGCAGCACGGGGGCAACCCUGGUGGCGAGUGGCGAACGGGUGAGUAAUGCAUCGGAACGUAUCCUUAAGUGGGGGAUAACGCAUCGAAAGAUGCGCUAAUACCGCAUAAUCUCUAAGGAGAAAAGCAGGGGAUCGCAAGACCUUGCGCUUUUGGAGCGGCCGAUGUCUGAUUAGCUAGUUGGUGAGGUAAAGGCUUACCAAGGCUUCGAUCAGUAGCUGGUCUGAGAGGACGACCAGCCACACUGGGACUGAGACACGGCCCAGACUCCUACGGGAGGCAGCAGUGGGGAAUUUUGGACAAUGGGGGCAACCCUGAUCCAGCCAUGCCGCGUGAGUGAAGAAGGCCUUCGGGUUGUAAAGCUCUUUCAGCCGGAACGAAAAGGUUACGGUUAAUACCCGUGACUAAUGACGGUACCGGAAGAAGAAGCACCGGCUAACUACGUGCCAGCAGCCGCGGUAAUACGUAGGGUGCGAGCGUUAAUCGGAAUUACUGGGCGUAAAGCGUGCGCAGGCGGUUUUGUAAGUCAGAUGUGAAAUCCCCGGGCUUAACCUGGGAACUGCGUUUGAAACUACAAGGCUAGAGUGUGGCAGAGGGGGGUGGAAUUCCACGUAGCAGUGAAAUGCGUAGAGAUGUGGAGGAACACCGAUGGCGAAGGCAGCCCCCUGGGUUAACACUGACGCUCAGGCACGAAAGCGUGGGGAGCAAACAGGAUUAGAUACCCUAGUAGUCC